UAUCUCUGUAGAGUCUGCAUAUCAAUAAGCGGAGGAAAAGAAACUAACAAGGAUUCCCUUAGUAACGGCGAGUGAGGCGGGAAGAGCUCAAAUUUGAAAUCUUCAAGGUUCUACCUUGACGAAUUGUAGUUUAAAGAAGUGUUUUCUGUUAGAUGAGUAGCAAAAGUUCCUUGGAAUGGGACAUCAUAGAGGGUGAGAAUCCCGUAUUUGGUUAUUCACUCUAGCUUUGUGAUACACUUUCAAAGAGUCGGAUUGUUUGGGAAUGCAGUCCAAAAUGGGUGGUAAAUUUCAUCUAAAGCUAGAUAUUGGCGAGAGACCGAUAGCGAACAAGUACCGUGAGGGAAAGAUGAAAAGAACUUUGAAAAGAGAGUUAAACAGUACGUGAAAUUGUCAAAAGGGAAGCGUUUGACACCAGUGUUGUUUAGUUGAAAAUCAAUUCAAUAGUUUUUGAUUCUAAGUAGUAUUGACUUCAUCAGCUUGCUGCUUUCUUCUCAGAAAUUAUUGAAUGCACUUUUCAGUUAACAAGUCAACAUCAAUUUCUUUUGUUGUAAAAGGGUAAGAGGAAGGUGGCUUGCGCUUCGGCUCAAGUGUUUAUAGCCUUUUAUCUCUGCAAUCGGAGAGAUUGAGGUCUGCAGCGUAGAUCCUUCGGGGUUAGAUACAUUGGUGCUAAGCUAUAGCCUUGUAUAGACAACUUGUUGACUAUGCUCAGUCAUGUAGCUUACUCGCUGAUGCUAUUUUACCUACGCUUAGGAUGUUGACUGAUAUGUAGUCGUA
This 774-nucleotide ribosomal RNA is filed under the name uncultured Neocallimastigales. RNAcentral describes it as "partial large subunit ribosomal RNA". It matches the Rfam family "Eukaryotic large subunit ribosomal RNA", at positions 24 to 644 of the family's 3401-position model. Lineage: Eukaryota; Fungi; Neocallimastigomycota; Neocallimastigomycetes; Neocallimastigales. The record is from RNAcentral.